Mya arenaria is the source of this 2963-nucleotide long non-coding RNA. RefSeq lists it as uncharacterized. NCBI's taxonomy places the organism in Eukaryota, Metazoa, Mollusca, Bivalvia, Myida, Myidae. The record is from RefSeq and is a predicted model, not a curated record. The transcript has 7 exons.
AAUCGUUAUUUUUUGGAGUUUAUUGAUGUGAAUUAGUUGUCUGGUAAGCGCAGUAGUAAGCGGACUCGCUUCACACCAAGGCGACCCGGGUUCGAUUCCCGGCCUGGGCGCAUGUGAGUUUGGUAACCAGACAUCCACAGGUCAUACAUUUAUGAUUUCGAACACCUGUAAGAAGUGUAUUUACCUGCUCCUAAUCUUGAUGUUAUCUCAGAGAGCCCGUCCACCUGAAAGGAUAAAAACAAUGUUUGCAAUGUCGCAGCACGGUGUUUCACGACUUGCUGGAAACUGUCCGAAGCACCUCGAUGGUUGCAGCGUCGUAGAGGACAUGCUGUCCACCCCUGUAGGAGCCUUGGCCGGGCAAAUCUUCACCAAGCUGAGAUAUAUCCAGGACACAUCACAUGCAGUAGGCCUGUGACUUGCAGAAAAUAUGACUAUAUUUAGAUAAUUGUAAACAUUAGAAGGCCAUUAAAAUUGUAGUUUGUCUGGCCAAAUUAUAUAUGAGAAAUUACGUCGUUGAGCUUUCGACCCCACCAGACAGACACAUGUAGAAUAAUAUUUUCGAAUGUCAAUACUGUGUUGACAGUAAGGUGUUGUCAUUGUCAUGUACAUAUAAGGGAAGGUAUUUUAUUACAAUUAUUGUUAAUAGUCUACAGUUUUCACUGACGCAAGAGUAUUUGCUUUCCAUGUAUAUAAACUUGAUAAGAGAUAAUAACAAAACAAAAUACCUAAGUAUGCUUUAACAAAGCUGUCUUACAUGGGUAAUUCCUGACUCCACCCAUGCUUUGUUAAGUACCUGAAAGAAAUAUCACUCUGUUACGAACGUAUUUUCGAAAAAAAUAAAGUUGUCUUUCUUGAUUUCAGAUAGGGUUGCAGGAGUUUUCGCCCUUGUAAUUUGAGUGUAUAGGGAGAAAGGGAUGUAUAUUUAAGAAGUGUAUUGUCGAAUUUAUUACAUGAAUCAUAAUCAAUGGUUAUAAGUCAAAUUACCACAGACGCACACUACAGUAAACUUGAAUAUUAAAUGAAGUUGUUUUGUCUAGUACAAUGAAUGUUAUGAUAUCAAUAUUAGUAUAUCUUAAUAAAAUGUGUUGUAUUGACAGAAACAAAGAAGCCUACAUCAUACACAGAAGCAUUAACAGUUUUUGGAUGUAAGAGGGAGCAGCUCAGCUAACGAUGUAAGCCCCAUCACAUAUGUGAGCUAUCGGUUGCAAUCCUCCCCUGUGUAUAAUUAUGGCUAAUGGUAGUCCAAAUGUGUGUCAACCCUAUUUACAUGGAAUGUUAGAGAGUGACCAAAGCCCCACCCAUCUCCAUCCUCCCAACUUACACCAUGGAUCCCUUACUGCGCUGUGAAAAUCCAAAGAACGCCAACAGCGCUUGGCAAACAUAGGAGUUGUCAGUGGUUUUAUCCUCUCAAGCUGGAAUAAAAAGAUUGUGAAGGUCAACGAUAUAGGAUGUUUAAUACCACGGGCUAAAGGUUGAUCACAGAUGUUACGAUUCUUGACUAAGCUCCUUGGCAGAAAACCGAUGAACGUCUAUCUACACGACAGGCGAACUCCAAAGCUGAAAAGAGAAUAACAUUCUUGAAACAGUUGUUUAUGAUUAAAUACCCUUUAUUAGGCUUCUCAAAUGUACACUUUACGGCAUAAGGACUGUGACAAACACACACAGUAGUUUCUGGAACAUGAAUACGAUUAAAACAUAGGAUGUUAAAAAUAUGUAGGCUGUAAUGUGUCAUUUGCGAAUGAGAGUAAUGUGUUUGCUUUAACACUGUAUGAUAAUUCGUCACCUUAGUGCAAUAACUCAAUAUCCGCUUCUUUUUCUAUAUGCAGUUAUUGAGUUAUGCACUAAGGUGAUGAUAGAGUGUAAUGGAGUUUGUAAAUCGGGUAAUCUCGGCGGCAUAGAGUAUAUGCGAAUGACCCGGAGAACAACCAUGUGCCUGCAUUUAUAACAAUGAUAUAUGCAUAUGCUUUAUUGUAAAAUAUAUAAUCAUAACAAAAUAUAUGUUUAUAACAUGAAAACGAAAAUCAAACAGAAUUAAUUGAUUACAUCCAUAAACUCAAAACACACGAAUAUAUUUACAUACAAGAAAGGAGUACAUCACGUGACUGACCUGUGAUUUCGAAAUAUCAAUAGACUUAGAACGGUCGGAAAAAAAACACAUUCAAAUUGUUUUGCAAAUGUUUUGCUAAUGAGAGAAGAAAGUUAAAUGUUUGUUAAGAAAUUACCAUUAUAUCUGAAAUAAUUCAUUUAAGUCUGAGACUUGUUCAGAAGUGACCAUUGUAUCUAAAAUAAAGUCUGAUGUUUGUUUAGAAAUGACCUAUUUGACAUAUUUCAUUCAGGUAGGACUUAUGUUUAGAAAUGACUAUUCUGUCUGAAAUAUUUCAUUCAAGUAUGAUGUUUGUUUAGAAAUGACCAACCUAUCUGACAUAUUUCAUUUAGGUAAGAUGUAUGUUUAGAAAUGACUAUUCUAUCUGAAGUCAUACAUUUAAGAAUAAUGCCAACCUAUCUGCUGUAAUUCAUUUAUGUCUGAUUUUUGGUUAGAAAUGACCAAUCUUUAUGAAGUCAUUCAUUUUAGUUUGAUGUAUGUUUAGAAAUGAAUAUUCUCUUUGAAAUAACUCAUUUAAUUAGGAUUCUUGUUUAGAAUGACCAAUAUAUCUAAAGCCAUUCAUAUAAGUAUGAUGUUUGUUUAGAAAUGACUAUUCUAUCUGAAAUAAUUCAUUGAAACAGGAUAUAUGUUUAAUGUGACCAUUAUUAUUUUAAUCAUUUAUUUAAGUACGAUGUUUGUUAAGAAAAUAACAAUCAUAACUGCAUUAAUUCAUUUAAGUAUAAUGACUGUUUCUACAUGACCAUUCUACCUUUAGGUCAGUGACCACCAUGUAUUUACACAAAAAUAUACCUUUACAUACACACGAACAAUGGAUUGACACUUUUCUUGUCAUUUUAUUGAAAUAGAAUUGUAAACAGCG